This 253-nucleotide ribosomal RNA is filed under the name uncultured bacterium. RNAcentral describes it as "partial 16S ribosomal RNA". It matches the Rfam family "Bacterial small subunit ribosomal RNA", at positions 524 to 776 of the family's 1533-position model. The record is from RNAcentral.
AACGUAGGUUCCGAGCGUUAUCCGGAUUUACUGGGCGUAAAGCGCGUUCAGGCGGUUUGGCAAGUCGGGCAUGAAAUCUCUCGGCUCAACCGGGAGAGGUUGUCCGAUACUUCCAGACUUGAGGGCAGUAGAGGGUGGUGGAAUUCCGGGUGUAGUGGUGAAAUGCGUAGAUAUCCGGAGGAACACCGGUGGCGAAGGCGGCUUCCUGGACCGACACUGACGCUGAGGCGCGAAAGCUAGGGGAGCAAACGGG